GAUGAAGAACGUAGUGAAAUGCGAUAAGUAAUGUGAAUUGCAGAAUUCAGUGAAUCAUCGAAUCUUUGAACGCACAUUGCGCCCGCCAGUAUUCUGGCGGGCAUGCCUGUCCGAGCGUCAUUUCAACCCUCGAACCCCUCCGGGGGGUCGGCGUUGGGGACCUCGGGAGCCCCUAAGACGGGAUCCCGGCCCCGAAAUACAGUGGCGGUCUCGCCGCAGCCUCUCCUGCGCAGUAGUUUGUACAACUCGCACCGGGAGCGCGGCGCGUCCACGUCCGUAAAACACCCAACUUCUGAAAUGUUGACCUCGGAUCAGGUAGGAAUACCCGCUGAACUUAAGCAUAUCAAUAAGCGGAGGA
Molecule: unclassified non-coding RNA, 358 nt
Filed under: soil metagenome
Description: partial contains 5.8S ribosomal RNA, internal transcribed spacer 2, and large subunit ribosomal RNA
Rfam family: 5.8S ribosomal RNA (bases 1-120)
Source: RNAcentral